RNAcentral lists this ribosomal RNA (322 nucleotides) under uncultured eukaryote. RNAcentral's name for it is "partial 18S ribosomal RNA". It matches the Rfam family "Eukaryotic small subunit ribosomal RNA", at positions 1470 to 1796 of the family's 1831-position model. The record is from RNAcentral.
CCCUUAGAUGUUCUGGGCCGCACGCGUGCUACACUGAGUGGAUCAGCGGGUCAGGUUGCGCGAAAGUGUUUCCUAAUCUUGAAAUCCGCUCGUGAUGGGGAUUGACGGUUGCAAUUUUCCGUCAUGAACGAGGAAUACCUUGUAAGCGCGGGUCAUCAUCCCGCGCUGAAUACGUCCCUGCCCUUUGUACACACCGCCCGUCGCUCCUACCGAUUGAGUGGUCCGGUGAGGCUUUGGGACCUGAGCGGAAAGAGCGUUUCGCUGUUUCUGCUCGGAAAACUCAGUCGAACCUUAUCAUUUAGAGGAAGGAGAAGUCGUAACA